Molecule: ribosomal RNA, 1174 nt
Filed under: Micrococcus luteus
Lineage: Bacteria; Bacillati; Actinomycetota; Actinomycetes; Micrococcales; Micrococcaceae
Description: bacterial SSU rRNA
Rfam family: Bacterial small subunit ribosomal RNA
Source: RNAcentral
UUAGUGGCGAACGGGUGAGUAACACGUGAGUAACCUGCCCUUAACUCUGGGAUAAGCCUGGGAAACUGGGUCUAAUACCGGAUAGGAGCGCCUACCGCAUGGUGGGUGUUGGAAAGAUUUAUCGGUUUUGGAUGGACUCGCGGCCUAUCAGCUUGUUGGUGAGGUAAUGGCUCACCAAGGCGACGACGGGUAGCCGGCCUGAGAGGGUGACCGGCCACACUGGGACUGAGACACGGCCCAGACUCCUACGGGAGGCAGCAGUGGGGAAUAUUGCACAAUGGGCGCAAGCCUGAUGCAGCGACGCCGCGUGAGGGAUGACGGCCUUCGGGUUGUAAACCUCUUUCAGUAGGGAAGAAGCGAAAGUGACGGUACCUGCAGAAGAAGCACCGGCUAACUACGUGCCAGCAGCCGCGGUAAUACGUAGGGUGCGAGCGUUAUCCGGAAUUAUUGGGCGUAAAGAGCUCGUAGGCGGUUUGUCGCGUCUGUCGUGAAAGUCCGGGGCUUAACCCCGGAUCUGCGGUGGGUACGGGCAGACUAGAGUGCAGUAGGGGAGACUGGAAUUCCUGGUGUAGCGGUGGAAUGCGCAGAUAUCAGGAGGAACACCGAUGGCGAAGGCAGGUCUCUGGGCUGUAACUGACGCUGAGGAGCGAAAGCAUGGGGAGCGAACAGGAUUAGAUACCCUGGUAGUCCAUGCCGUAAACGUUGGGCACUAGGUGUGGGGACCAUUCCACGGUUUCCGCGCCGCAGCUAACGCAUUAAGUGCCCCGCCUGGGGAGUACGGCCGCAAGGCUAAAACUCAAAGGAAUUGACGGGGGCCCGCACAAGCGGCGGAGCAUGCGGAUUAAUUCGAUGCAACGCGAAGAACCUUACCAAGGCUUGACAUGUUCUCGAUCGCCGUAGAGAUACGGUUUCCCCUUUGGGGCGGGUUCACAGGUGGUGCAUGGUUGUCGUCAGCUCGUGUCGUGAGAUGUUGGGUUAAGUCCCGCAACGAGCGCAACCCUCGUUCCAUGUUGCCAGCACGUAAUGGUGGGGACUCAUGGGAGACUGCCGGGGUCAACUCGGAGGAAGGUGAGGACGACGUCAAAUCAUCAUGCCCCUUAUGUCUUGGGCUUCACGCAUGCUACAAUGGCCGGGACAAUGGGUUGCGAAACUGUGAAGGGGAACUAAUCCCAAA